GAGGGUAGAGCUCAGUGGUAGAGCGCAUGCUUAGCAUGCACGAGGUCCUGGGUUCAAUCCCCAGUACCUCCA
This 72-nucleotide transfer RNA is filed under the name Camelus bactrianus (Bactrian camel). It matches the Rfam family "tRNA". Rfam says of the family: Transfer RNA (tRNA) molecules are approximately 80 nucleotides in length. The record is from Rfam by way of RNAcentral. Lineage: Eukaryota; Metazoa; Chordata; Mammalia; Artiodactyla; Camelidae. RNAcentral also lists the same sequence under 2 other names.